RNAcentral lists this ribosomal RNA (489 nucleotides) under uncultured bacterium. RNAcentral's name for it is "partial 16S ribosomal RNA". It matches the Rfam family "Bacterial small subunit ribosomal RNA", at positions 30 to 507 of the family's 1533-position model. The record is from RNAcentral.
AUUGAACGCUGGCGGCAGGCUUAACACAUGCAAGUCGAACGGUAGCAGGAGAAAGCUUGCUUUCUUGCUGACGAGUGGCGGACGGGUGAGUAAUGCUUGGGAAUCUGUCUUAUGGAGGGGGAUAACUACGGGAAACUGUAGCUAAUACCGCGUAAUAUCUUCGGAUUAAAGAAUGGGACUUUUAGCCAUUCGCCAUAAGAUGAGCCCACGUGGGAUUAGGUAGUUGGUGGGGUAAAGGCCUACCAAGCCGACGAUCUCUAGCUGGUCUGAGAGGAUGACCAGCCACACUGGAACUGAGACACGGUCCAGACUCCUACGGGAGGCAGCAGUGGGGAAUAUUGCGCAAUGGGGGCAACCCUGACGCAGCCAUGCCGCGUGAAUGAAGAAGGCCUUCGGGUUGUAAAGUUCUUUCGGUGGUGAGGAAGGCUAAUAUGUUAAUAGCAUAUUAGAUUGACGUUAGCCACAGAAGAAGCACCGGCUAACUCCGUG